GACGAACGCUGGCGGCGUGCCUAACACAUGCAAGUCGAGCGGAGUCAGUAAGAGGAAGUUUUCGGAUGAAAUCUUAUUGAUUUAGCGGCGGACGGGUGAGUAACGCGUGAGCGACCAACCUUGCACAGGGGGAUAACGGACCGAAAGGUUCACUAAUACCGCAUGAGACCACGGUGUUGCAUGACACAGAGGUCAAAGGAGCAAUCCGGUGCAAGACGGGCUCGCGUCCGAUUAGGUAGUUGGAGGGGUAACGGCCCACCAAGCCUAUGAUCGGUAGCCGACCUGAGAAGGUGAUCGGCCACAUUGGAACUGAGAUACGGUCCAAACUCCUACGGGAGGCAGCAGUGGGGAAUAGUGGGCAAUGGGGGAAACCCUGACCCAGCAACGCCGCGUGAAGGAAGAAGGUUUUCGGAUUGUAAACUUCUGUCCUUGGUGAAGAGAAGAAGACGGUAGCCAAGGAGGAAGCCCCGGCUAACUACGUGCCAGCCGCCGCUGUAA
Molecule: ribosomal RNA, 498 nt
Filed under: uncultured bacterium
Lineage: Bacteria
Description: partial 16S ribosomal RNA
Rfam family: Bacterial small subunit ribosomal RNA
Source: RNAcentral